UACAGAGGUCCCAAGCGUUGUUCGGAUUCAUUGGGCGUAAAGGGUGCGUAGGUGGCAGUGUAAGUUGGGCGUGAAAUCCUGGGGCUUAACCUCAGAAUUGCGUUCAAUACUGCAUUGCUAGGGCGCUGUAGAGGAGAUUGGAAUUUACGGUGUAGCAGUGAAAUGCGUAGAUAUCGUAAGGAAGACCAGUGGCGAAAGCGAAUCUCUGGGCAGCAGCCGACGCUGAGGCACGAAGGCCAGGGGAGCAAACGGG
Molecule: ribosomal RNA, 253 nt
Filed under: uncultured bacterium
Lineage: Bacteria
Description: partial 16S ribosomal RNA
Rfam family: Bacterial small subunit ribosomal RNA
Source: RNAcentral